RNAcentral lists this ribosomal RNA (289 nucleotides) under uncultured bacterium. RNAcentral's name for it is "partial 16S ribosomal RNA". It matches the Rfam family "Bacterial small subunit ribosomal RNA", at positions 773 to 1060 of the family's 1533-position model. The record is from RNAcentral.
GUGGAUUAGAUACCCUGGUAGUCCACGCUGUAAACGAUGGAUGCUAGCCGUCAGCAAGCAUGCUUGUUGGUGGCGCAGCUAACGCAUUAAGCAUCCCGCCUGGGGAGUACGGCCGCAAGGUUAAAACUCAAAGGAAUUGACGGGGGCCCGCACAAGCGGUGGAGCAUGUGGUUUAAUUCGACGCAACGCGAAGAACCUUACCAGCCCUUGACAUGUCCGGACGGUUUCCAGAGAUGGAUUCCUCCUAGCAAUAGGUCGGAACACAGGUGCUGCACGGCCGUCGACAACU